Molecule: ribosomal RNA, 253 nt
Filed under: uncultured bacterium
Lineage: Bacteria
Description: partial 16S ribosomal RNA
Rfam family: Bacterial small subunit ribosomal RNA
Source: RNAcentral
UACAGAGGCCUCGAGCGUUAGGCGGAAUCACUGGGCUUAAAGCGUGUGUAGGCGGAUUGGUAAGUACCUUGUGAAAUCCCACAGCUUAACUGUGGAACUGCUCGGUAUACUGCUGAUCUUGAGCCACUCAGGGGCUACCGGAACAAAUGGUGGAGCGGUGAAAUGCGUAGAUAUCAUGUGGAACGCCAAUGGUGAAAACAGGUAGCUGGGGGUGUGCUGACGCUGAGACACGAAAGCCAGGGGAGCAAACGGG